AUUGAACGCUGGCGGCAUGCCUUACACAUGCAAGUCGAACGGCAGCACGGGAGCUUGCUCCUGGUGGCGAGUGGCGAACGGGUGAGUAAUACAUCGGAACGUACCCUGAAGUGGGGGAGUAACGUAGCGAAAGUUACGCUAAUACCGCAUAUUCUGUGAGCAGGAAAGAGGGGGAGUCGCAAGACCUCUUGCUUUAGGAGCGGCCGAUGUCGGAUUAGCUAGUUGGUGAGGUAAAGGCUCACCAAGGCGACGAUCCGUAGCGGGUCUGAGAGGAUGAUCCGCCACACUGGGACUGAGACACGGCCCAGACUCCUACGGGAGGCAGCAGUGGGGAAUUUUGGACAAUGGGCGCAAGCCUGAUCCAGCCAUGCCGCGUGAGUGAAGAAGGCCUUCGGGUUGUAAAGCUCUUUCGGUGGGAAGGAAAUUGCUUCGGUUAAUACCUGGAGUAGAUGACGUACCCGGCAUAAGAAGACACCGGCUAACUACGUG
This 489-nucleotide ribosomal RNA is filed under the name uncultured bacterium. RNAcentral's name for it is "bacterial SSU rRNA". It matches the Rfam family "Bacterial small subunit ribosomal RNA", at positions 30 to 507 of the family's 1533-position model. The record is from RNAcentral.